GGGCGCGUAGCUCAGCUGGUUAGAGCGCCACACUCACAUUGUGGAGGUCAGGGGUUCAAAUCCCUUCGCGCCCA
RNAcentral lists this transfer RNA (74 nucleotides) under Chloroflexota bacterium. RNAcentral describes it as "Chloroflexi bacterium (sediment metagenome) tRNA-Val". It matches the Rfam family "tRNA". From Rfam's summary of the family: Transfer RNA (tRNA) molecules are approximately 80 nucleotides in length. The record is from RNAcentral. Lineage: Bacteria; Bacillati; Chloroflexota.